AGAGUUUGAUUCUGGCUCAGAAUGAACGCUGGCGGCGUGCUUAACACAUGCAAGUCGUACGAGAACGUCUUAGCUUGCUAAGAUUAGUAAAGUGGCGCACGGGUGAGUAACGCGUGGGUAAUCUACCUUCGAAUCGGGGAUAACAUUGCGAAAGCGAUGCUAAUACCGGAUAAUAUCUAUGAUUCUUCGGGAUUUUAGAUCAAAGAUGGCCUCUACUUGUAAGCUAUUGUUUGAAGAUGAGUCCGCGUCCCAUUAGCUUGUUGGUGGGGUAAUGGCCUACCAAGGCAACGAUGGGUAGCUGGUCUGAGAGGAUGAUCAGCCACACUGGAACUGACACACGGUCCAGACUCCUACGGGAGGCAGCAGUGAGGAAUUUUGCGCAAUGGGGGAAACCCUGACGCAGCAACGCCGCGUGAGUGAUGAAGGCUUUCGGGUCGUAAAGCUCUGUCAAGUGGGAAGAAACUAUAUGAGGCCAAUACCUUUAUAUACUGACGGUACCACUGAAGGAAGCACCGGCUAACUCCGUGCCAGCAGCCGCGGUAACACGGGGGGUGCAAGCGUUAUUCGGAUUCACUGGGCGUAAAGAGCGCGUAGGCGGCCAGGUAAGUCAGAUGUGAAAGCCCGGGGCUCAACCCUGGAAGUGCAUCUGAAACUGCUUGGCUUGAGUAUGGGAGAGGGUAGUGGAAUUCCUGGUGUAGAGGUGAAAUUCGUAGAUAUCAGGAGGAACACCGGUGGCGAAGGCGACUACCUGGACCAAUACUGACGCUGAGGCGCGAAGGCGAGGGGAGCAAACAGGAUUAGAUACCCUGGUAGUCCACGCAGUAAACGUUGUUCACUAGGUGUAGCGGGUAUUGACCCCUGCUGUGCCGCAGCUAACGCAUUAAGUGAACCGCCUGGGAAGUACGGCCGCAAGGCUAAAACUCAAAGAAAUUGACGGGGGCCCGCACAAGCGGUGGAGCAUGUGUUUAAUUCGACGCAACGCGAAGAACCUUACCUGGAUUUGACAUCCCGGGAAUUCUAUCGAAAGACUGAAGUGCCCUUCGGGGAACCCGGUGACAGGUGCUGCAUGGCUGUCGUCAGCUCGUGUCGUGAGAUGUUGGGUUAAGUCCCGCAACGAGCGCAACCCCUGUCUUUAGUUGCCAGCAUUAAGUUGGGGACUCUAAAGAUACCGCCCCGGUUAACGGGGAGGAAGGUGGGGAUGACGUCAAGUCCUCAUGGCCUUUAUGUCCAGGGCUACACACGUGCUACAAUGGGCUGUACAGAGGGUAGCGAUGCCGCGAGGUGGAGCCAAUCCCAAAAAGCAGUCCCAAGUUCGGAUUGGAGUCUGCAACUCGACUCCAUGAAGUUGGAAUCGCUAGUAAUCGCGGAUCAGCAUGCCGCGGUGAAUACGUUCCCGGGCCUUGUACACACCGCCCGUCACACCAUGAGAGUUGAUUGUACCGGAAGUUGUUGGGCCAACCUUUCGAGGAGGCAGGCACCUAUGGUAUGAUUGAUGAUUGGGGUGAAGUCGUAACAAGGUA
This 1520-nucleotide ribosomal RNA is filed under the name metagenome. Its description in RNAcentral is "bacterial SSU rRNA". It matches the Rfam family "Bacterial small subunit ribosomal RNA". The record is from RNAcentral.